AAAUUGAAGAGUUUGAUCAUGGCUCAGAUUGAACGCUGGCGGCAGGCCUAACACAUGCAAGUCGAACGGUAACAGGAAGCAGCUUGCUGCUUCGCUGACGAGUGGCGGACGGGUGAGUAAUGUCUGGGAAACUGCCUGAUGGAGGGGGAUAACUACUGGAAACGGUGGCUAAUACCGCAUAACGUCGCAAGACCAAAGAGGGGGACCUUCGGGCCUCUUGCCAUCAGAUGUGCCCAGAUGGGAUUAGCUUGUUGGUGAGGUAACGGCUCACCAAGGCGACGAUCCCUAGCUGGUCUGAGAGGAUGACCAGCCACACUGGAACUGAGACACGGUCCAGACUCCUACGGGAGGCAGCAGUGGGGAAUAUUGCACAAUGGGCGCAAGCCUGAUGCAGCCAUGCCGCGUGUAUGAAGAAGGCCUUCGGGUUGUAAAGUACUUUCAGCGGGGAGGAAGGUGUUGUGGUUAAUAACCGCAGCAAUUGACGUUACCCGCAGAAGAAGCACCGGCUAACUCCGUGCCAGCAGCCGCGGUAAUACGGAGGGUGCAAGCGUUAAUCGGAAUUACUGGGCGUAAAGCGCACGCAGGCGGUCUGUCAAGUCGGAUGUGAAAUCCCCGGGCUCAACCUGGGAACUGCAUUCGAAACUGGCAGGCUUGAGUCUUGUAGAGGGGGGUAGAAUUCCAGGUGUAGCGGUGAAAUGCGUAGAGAUCUGGAGGAAUACCGGUGGCGAAGGCGGCCCCCUGGACAAAGACUGACGCUCAGGUGCGAAAGCGUGGGGAGCAAACAGGAUUAGAUACCCUGGUAGUCCACGCCGUAAACGAUGUCUACUUGGAGGUUGUGCCCUUGAGGUGUGGCUUCCGGAGCUAACGCGUUAAGUAGACCGCCUGGGGAGUACGGCCGCAAGGUUAAAACUCAAAUGAAUUGACGGGGGCCCGCACAAGCGGUGGAGCAUGUGGUUUAAUUCGAUGCAACGCGAAGAACCUUACCUGGUCUUGACAUCCACAGAACUUUCCAGAGAUGGGAGGUGCCUUCGGGAACUGUGAGACAGGUGCUGCAUGGCUGUCGUCAGCUCGUGUUGUGAAAUGUUGGGUUAAGUCCCGCAACGAGCGCAACCCUUAUCCUUUGUUGCCAGCGGUCCGGCCGGGAACUCAAAGGAGACUGCCAGUGAUAAACUGGAGGAAGGUGGGGAUGACGUCAAGUCAUCAUGGCCCUUACGACCAGGGCUACACACGUGCUACAAUGGCGCAUACAAAGAGAAGCGACCUCGCGAGAGCAAGCGGACCUCAUAAAGUGCGUCGUAGUCCGGAUUGGAGUCUGCAACUCGACUCCAUGAAGUCGGAAUCGCUAGUAAUCGUGGAUCAGAAUGCCACGGUGAAUACGUUCCCGGGCCUUGUACACACCGCCCGUCACACCAUGGGAGUGGGUUGCAAAAGAAGUAGGUAGCUUAACCUUCGGGAGGGCGCUUACCACUUUGUGAUUCAUGACUGGGGUGAAGUCGUAACAAGGUAACCGUAGGGGAACCUGCGGUUGGAUCACCUCCUUACCUUAAAGAAGC
RNAcentral lists this ribosomal RNA (1553 nucleotides) under Salmonella enterica subsp. enterica serovar Mbandaka. Its description in RNAcentral is "bacterial SSU rRNA". It matches the Rfam family "Bacterial small subunit ribosomal RNA". The record is from RNAcentral. Lineage: Bacteria; Pseudomonadati; Pseudomonadota; Gammaproteobacteria; Enterobacterales; Enterobacteriaceae.